Molecule: long non-coding RNA, 509 nt
Organism: Scylla paramamosain (green mud crab)
Lineage: Eukaryota; Metazoa; Arthropoda; Malacostraca; Decapoda; Portunidae
Exons: 2
Source: RefSeq, a predicted model, not a curated record
CUUCUGUCUCCCAUCAAGGUCUGCCGUCCUCAGUGCCUUGAAGACAGGGUUCACCAGCCCCACCUGCAGGGCCAUGUUGGGGGCGGCCUUGAUGUACACAAUGAGCAUGUCGCACACCCUGGGGAUUGAAGAGGAGUGGGAUGCUUCCCUCGGUACUCAGCCAGCAGGGCACCCAGACGCUCGUCCAGGCGAUCCAACUCCUCCUGAGGCACUGUGUCCAUGUCCACGUCCACCUGCAGAAAGGAAGGUAUGGUGGUGGUGGUAAUUCAAUUGCUUUACGAGGUUUGCAAUUCCUAAUCCUACAAUUUAGUUAUGCCUUAAUCUCCCCUCAACUCUCUCCUUGAUACUAAGCAUGCAUCAGUACAAAGUGACAAAAGGAGAAGAAAAAAGCAACAAGAGUAUAAUGGAUAGUGUGAUACUAAUUGUUACACAGAUACUGCAGGUGAUGGUGGUGACAAUAACCUUAAAGCAAAAUUAAUCUUUCUGCCAGGACACUUAACAAAAUGAGA